This 179-nucleotide ribosomal RNA is filed under the name uncultured bacterium. Its description in RNAcentral is "partial 16S ribosomal RNA". The record is from RNAcentral.
CCCAGUCUGCUGCCUCCCGUAGGAGUAUUACCGCGGCUGCUGGCACGUAGUUAGCCGUGACUUAUUCCGGGAGUACUGUCCUUCCUCAUCCUCCCGAAAAGAGCUUUACGACCCGAAGGCCUUCAUCGCUCACGCGGCGUUGCUGCAUCAGGCUUUCGCCCAUUGUGCAAUAUUCCCGA